UUAAGGAGGCAUUGUGGGUUCUCUUACGAGUUGCUGUCUGAGCAGUUGGUUCUCCUGGAGAAGCUUUGGUCCUCAUUUCGAGCAUUGCUUCCUGGCUCCGGAGGGGAAGACAUGUGCUGCUUGGUCUCCAGGAUGAACUUGUCACACUGCUUCCUGCCAUGUACCCAACUGUGCUUGUCAUUGGAGGAGCUCGGGGCCUCCGUGUCACUGAGGACAGCUGUGGUGCCUUUCAGGCUAGCCCUGCUCUUUGUUGUGAGUGUGACUUCUCAGCUCCAGUGUAGAACCCUCAUCCCACUAGCACAGCUCCUUCAUCCUGCUGGCAUAGACUUUCUGGCUUCCACCGCUGACCCUUGGGUCUUCCUGGAAUAGAUCCAUAAAAAAGACUGGAGUGAGUCCUUCUUGUGGGCUCUGGACUUUCAGUUGGACUUGUGGAGGCAUUGUCCUGAGCUCUGGGUUUUUAUCUGGAUUCAUGUGGGACAUUGCAAUAGGGUUUAGGCUCUUGACUAAAUAAUCUAUGUCUUUGGUGUUGCGGAUAGAUUUCCUGCAUUUGUUGUGUUAACUUCCGGUGACCAUUAUAAAAAUAUUAUGAACUCCAUGUCCUAAUCUUAGUUGUUCUCUGUGUACAACCACUGACUACAACAGAAAUUGGUUCCAGAGGAGUGGGGUCAUUGCUGUUAUGUUGGCUGGCCAUGUGAUUUAAGAACUUUGGAAAUUAAUUUGGAAAAUAUUUGAGAGACUGGCCAAAUUUGAAACAGCCUUUGUGUGCUAUAUUAUUUUGGAGACUCUGAUCGGAACCUGGAAGAUUGGAGUACUGAUGGAGAUGCUGCCAAUUAAGAUGAAGCUUGGGAAGCUUCUGUUGGGAAAGACUGCAAUGUCUGCUGGAGUCCAGGAAGAAGGUGUGUCUUGCUCUUUGCUGGUUCCUGUUUUGCUGUUUGCAGCUGCCAUGAACUGUGGCCCAGCCAUGCCCACCUGCCUUGGAGCCAACUAAGUGUGCACUGAAACCUCCAAAAACUUGUUAUUUGAAAGCUUCCUCAGGAUCUGUUGAAAAUCCCCUUCUAUGUUUGGAGCUACUGAGACUCUGGCACCGCGCUACCCCAAGCCAUUGGGCCUACAGAACCAGUGGCCCUCCUCUGCCUGCUCAGAACUCCGCAGUUCCAGACGAGCUGGGCCUCAGGGACACUGUGCACCCACCUGCCCCUUGGAAGCUCCACAGUUCUUCAAUCGCAGCCGGGUUAGGGUACUCACCACAGGCCGCAGUGCUUCAGGAACCUGUGGACCCUCCCUGGUUGCAGAGAUAUCCACAGUCCUCCAGACACAUGGAGAGGCCGAUGCAGGCACCCCAAAUCUGCCCAUCUCCUCCUCUGCAGACCAAUGGCCAGGCGUGGCAGCUAAACAGGUUGGGCUAGGCUGAUAGUGUGGGCCCGCCCACCCGUCAGUAGCUCAGCAAUUCUCCAAGUGUAACCGGAAUGGGGAGGCUGAUGUGGAAGCCUCAAACCCACCUCUCCCCUUCACUGCACCUGGAAGCCUGGGGGAACUCCAGCAGUCUGGGCGCAGAUAUCCAGAGUCCUCCAGACAUGCAGAGAGGCCGGUGAGGGCACCCCAGAUCUGCCCAGCUCCUCCUCUGCAGACCUAUGGCCAGGCGCGGCAGCUAAACAGGCUGGGCUAGGCUGGUAGUGUGGGCCAGCUCACCUAUCGGGAGCUCAGCAGGUCUCCAAGUGAAGCCAGAAUGGGGAGGCUGAUGUGGAAGCCUCAAACCCACCUCUCUCCUUCACUGCACCUGGAAGCCUGAGGGAACUCCAGCAGUCUGGGCGCAGAUAUCCAGAGUCCUCCAGACACGCAGAGAGGCUGGUGAGGGCACCCCAGAUCUGCCCAGCUCCUCCUCUGCAGACCUAUGGCCAAGUGCGGCAGCUAAACAGGCUGGGCUAGGCUGGUAGUGUGGGCCAGCCCACCUAUCAGGAGCUCAGCAGGUCUCCAAGUGAAGCCGGAAUGGGGAGGCUGAUGUGGAAGCCUCAAACCCACCUCUCCCCUUCACUGCACCUGGAAGCCUGGGGGAACUCCAGCAGUCUGGGUGCAGAUAUCCAGAGUCCUCCAGACACGCAGAGAGGCCGAUGA
Long non-coding RNA from Cavia porcellus (domestic guinea pig), 2112 nucleotides. RefSeq lists it as uncharacterized. The record is from RefSeq and is a predicted model, not a curated record. The transcript is spliced from 3 exons. Lineage: Eukaryota; Metazoa; Chordata; Mammalia; Rodentia; Caviidae.